This is a long non-coding RNA of Pezoporus flaviventris, 1786 nucleotides long. RefSeq lists it as uncharacterized. The transcript has 3 exons. Lineage: Eukaryota; Metazoa; Chordata; Aves; Psittaciformes; Psittacidae. The record is from RefSeq and is a predicted model, not a curated record.
AAAAUGUCUUGCAAAAUCUGAGGGUGGGGAAAUGGUUGGAGAGCUCACAACUUUUCAGAACUACAGCUAAACAAGUGAAAAUGCAGCCCAGGAACUGGCAGAAAACUGCCUUUCUGUGAGCAGGGAGUUGACUGAGAAACCUUGCAAUGACCCAGGAGUUGGUAGGAAAGGACAGGGAGAUUAAUGUGAUUCUGAACAGACAAGCAGCCCUUAUGGAAAACGAUGCACUGAAGCUUCCCUCCCACUCUCUCCUUUCCUCGGCACCAUUCUGCAUCCUGAAGUGGGUCUGUCUCUGGAUCCCCAGGCCUCCAGAAAGCUGUCAGACUGGAAAAACAGGUCCUCAAGGAUUCAAAACACAGCUCCUUCUCCUAAGGCACUGACCACAGCAGUGCCCACCUCAGAUCCCUCCAACCCAAUGGACUUGAGACCUCAUUUUCAUUAAAAAUAGAGGAAUGAGCUGCUGCAGCCCUAGCCCUGUGCAUCAGACCAUUACAAAUCCUUCUGGAACUGCCUGAUUAAUCCUUUGUUAUCGGGACUUCCUGCCAGCACCCUGUCACUGCCUCUCAUCCUAAUCCUGUGGCACAAUCCCUUCCCAUCAGUAUUAUCAGCAGUUUGCAAAAACUGGAAUCCUAAGCCAAAAUGUGACAGUAUUCCUCAGGCACCUCACCCGGGCUGCAUAAAUUUACAGAGGGAAAGUUAUCUCACCUACCUUAGGCACCUGGUUUUGGUUGGGAUGAAUCUUCCAUUGGAAGUGCCUCCCUCCCCACAGUAACUAUAGACAAAGAUAGCCUUGAAUUAAUAUCUAAAUAACUAGAAUAAGGCAAUAUCAGUCCCAUUUUUUUGAUGCCAGGAUUAAAACCAGAACUUGUUUGAGUCAGUUUUUAGGUCUCUUUUAUUCUUACACCAUUAUAAGAACUCAUUUUCUAAUUCCUUGACUCUUUUAAUUACAUUUAAAUUGAACUUAUUAGCAUUUAAUUGAAACUUCAUUCAAUGCCUCUCAAAAUAGAAAUCAAUUUUAAGAAUUACUUAUUCUGCAGUAGAAAAAUGUGCUGAUACAGGUGAAUUAAUCACAUGUUCUUAGAAUCAUUACUAUAUUCUUGCUGGCCAGAAAAAAGAUGAAGAAUUGAAAAAUGCAGUUGUUCUGAAACCAAAAUGCUUUGCCCAACCCUAUUAGAUUUGCUGAAAUACGUUUUGGCAGAUAAGCAUAUUCUGACAUUGCCAAAAUGUCCUGUUUUAUAAUUUUGGAACUGGGUAUCUAAUAUUUCUUUUCAAAAUAGUUUUUCAUGUUUAAUGUUCCUAUGAUGUGUUUCAUUUUGUGUUCUCAAUACAAUUAAAAAGUCAACCAUAAUCAAAAGUUUCUGAGACAUUUCAGUUGAUACAACACGUUUUUCUUAAAACUUUCUCUUCCAAAUAAUUUCAGAAUUUUCAGAAGUUGUGCCUAACUGGCCUAAGAUCAAAUUUGAAAAUCCUCUGCAAAUUUAUUUUCUGCAUACGUUUGAUUUAUUGCUGAUAUUCCACCAAAAGUGUGUCGGCCGUAAACCUCUUAAAGAGCUGAAAGGAAAAGAGAUUCAGUGUUCCUCAGAGAGGACUUUACACUUUCUGGGCCAGGACUUAAAAUUCAUUUCCACCACUGCAAGACUACCCAGUACCAAAACACUUUUCUUCAAGUGAAGCCGAGGAGAGAUUGGUGGUAAUUUUUAUGUCACCUUGCACAAUUUAAAGUGUUUAGAGGAUAUAAAAUGAAAGAUUAUAAUCUGUGAAAAUACAGAUGUUAGUUUAUAAUAUU